AUCCAGCUGCUGACGAGUCCCAAAUAGGACGAAAUGCGCAUCCUGGAU
Molecule: non-coding RNA, 48 nt
Filed under: Trichobilharzia regenti
Lineage: Eukaryota; Metazoa; Platyhelminthes; Trematoda; Strigeidida; Schistosomatidae
Source: RNAcentral